ACGAGCGGCGAUAGCACAGAUAUUGUACUAGUUCCCAAUAAAUCACUGAAGUUAAUCAACGUUGAACGUGGUUAAUAGCCGGAUGGGUGACCAUCUGGGCAAUCGCGUACCUACUAUUG
This 119-nucleotide ribosomal RNA is filed under the name Diaphorina citri (Asian citrus psyllid). Lineage: Eukaryota; Metazoa; Arthropoda; Insecta; Hemiptera; Psyllidae. The record is from RNAcentral.